AAAAAGGGAGUUAGCUGCAACGACUAUCAAUCAAAGAAACCGCUACCCACGUUCACUCUCUACUUUAUCUUCUUCACUGCUCUCUGCUCUCUGUUUCCGCGUUGUCUCCAUUUUCCACAAUUGCCCUCCACUUAUUCAACAAAGCGCGUCUCGCAAGGGGCAUAUCCGUCAUUGCAUCCUUCUCUGCCCCUCUUCUUGGUUAUUGUUCCCUCCUCUUAGCUUUGGUGCAAGGGAUGAACUAAAUUUCGCUGAAAAAAUGUCAGAAAACGGGGAAGAGAAGUUACUGGCUGUGGCGCGGCACAUAGCGAAAACGCUGGGGCACAACAACACCAUGUCUGAUGACAUAUUCCAAAUACUCUCCAACUUCGACGGAAGGUUCUCGAGAGAGAAUCUUUCCGAAAAGGGCGCAGAGGCAGAUUCCAGGGCCUGCGCCGCACUCGAUCACUCCCUCAAAACCCUAGACCGCCGGAUCUCUAACUACGUCUCCUCCGACCGCCCAAUCUGGGCCGACGCCGCGGACUCCGCUGCCUUUCUCGACGCCGUGGACGAGCUCGUCGCCGCCGUCGCCGAGUGGAACCACCUCGCCUCCGACAAGGCCGUCGCCGCGUGCCUCGUCCGCGCCGAGGACAUGCUCCAGCACGCCAUGUUCCGCCUCGAGGACGAGUUCCGCUCGCUCAUGGAGCGCGGCGGCGAGUCCUUCGGCCUCACGCGCGACCCCCGCCACGGCGAGUCCGCGGAGAAUUUGCCGUUCGACUCGGAGGACGACGACGACGAUGAAGAAGCUAGGAACGGCGACGAUGAGCAGAUUCCGGUGGCGCUGCCGGUCACGGACUUCGACAUCAUCAUUGACGCGCUGCCGGCGGGGACGAUCAACGACCUCCACGAGAUCGCGAAGCGAAUGGUGGCCGGCGGGUUCGGGAAGGAGUGCUCGCACGUGUACAGCAGUUGCCGGAGGGAGUUCUUGGAGGAAAGCAUCUCGAGGUUAGGGUUACAGAAGCUGAGCAUCGAGGAAGUUCACAAGAUGACGUGGCCGGACCUCGAGGACGAGAUUGAGAAGUGGAUCAAAGCCUCCAACGUCGCUCUCAAAAUCCUCUUCCCCAGCGAGCGUAGACUCUGUGACCGCGUCUUCUUCGGAUUCGCCUCCGCCGCGGAUUUCUCGUUCAUGGAGGUUUGCCGCGGAUCCGCCAUUCAGUUGCUGAAUUUUGCCGACGCCGUCGCCAUCGGGAGCCGUUCGCCGGAGCGGUUAUUCAGAAUCCUCGACGUGUUCGAGACGCUGCGUGACCUAAUUCCGGAGUUUGAUGCUCUGUUUUCUGAUCAGUUCAGUGUGUCGCUCAGGAAUGAAGCGGUUACUAUUUGGAAGAGAUUGGGCGAAGCGAUUAGGGGCAUUUUUAUGGAGCUGGAGAAUUUGAUUCGCCGGGAUCCGGCGAAGAUGGCGGUUCCCGGCGGCGGUCUUCAUCCGAUUACUCGCUACGUGAUGAACUACCUCCGUGCGGCUUGCCGGUCGCGGCAGAGCUUGGAGCAAGUUUUUGAAGAUUAUGGAUUAAAAGACUAUCCCAAGCUUGAUGAUAGGUUGCCCAAUUCAUCUUCUCUGUCAGUGCAAAUGGAUUGGAUUAUGGAGCUGUUAGAGAGCAAUUUGGAAGCUAAGUCCAAGAUUUACAAGGACCCUGCAUUGUGUUAUGUUUUCUUGAUGAACAAUGGCAGGUACAUUGUUCAGAAGACCAAGGACAGUGAAUUGGGAACCCUCUUGGGGGAUGAUUGGAUCCGAAAACACGCUGCAAAAGUUCGACAAUUCCAUGUGCAUUAUCAAAGAAGCUCGUGGAAUAAGGUUCUGGGGAUUCUGAAGCUGGAUAGUAAUGGCUCGUUGCCUCCUAAUGGUUUAGCAAAAGCAAUGAAGGAGAAGCUCAAGUCGUUUAACGCGGCGUUUGAGGAGAUUUGUAGGGAUCAGUCUUCAUGGUUUGUCUUUGAUGAGCAGCUUAGGGAAGAAAUAAGAAUUUCCCUUGAGAAGAUCUUGUUGCCUGCUUAUGGAAACUUCAUUGCGAGGUUUCAGGGUGUUCCGGAGCUUGGGAAGCAUGCUGAUAAGUAUAUCAAGUUUGGAACGGAGGACAUUCAAUCAAGACUCAAUGAUUUGUUUCAGGGAAGCAGUGGAUCAACUGGUAGCCGAAAGUGAAGGUGAAACUGCCACUAGUUUUUCGUGUGUAUUAUUUGUAGUGUAAUUAAAAUACAGUGUUUUGAUUAUCACAAAUGUAGUCGAUAAGGAUUUGUAGUUUGUAUUAUAAAAUACUACUACUGUAUGUUAUUCUGUUUAGCAUCAUUGUGGAGAUGAUUGGGAAAGAUUUUGAAGUUAAGAGCCGAUUGAGAAGUUAACGAUUUUGGUGUAACAUUAAGGUCCAAGUGGAUUAUGGGCUGCUGUACUGAUUAAUUCAAGCGGAUUAUGGAGUGUAACAUUAUUCCCUCCUUCCCAUCCUCGCAAUAUUAUCUCUUUUUCUCUUUUCCAAAUAUAAUACUGAAGUGAGAACAGAGAACCCAUAGUUGAUUUCCAAUACUUGCUUUCUGUGGUGUUCAGUAUUUCUUAACAUGCUCAGACCUAAAACUCCCUCAUUGGAGACAAGUGUUCUGAAAAUUUUGAAAAUGUAAUAUUGAAAAUGUUCUGAAAAUUGGAGACAAAAUGGAUCACA
Cajanus cajan (pigeon pea) is the source of this 2675-nucleotide non-coding RNA. The record is from RefSeq and is a predicted model, not a curated record. Lineage: Eukaryota; Viridiplantae; Streptophyta; Magnoliopsida; Fabales; Fabaceae.